UGACCUCGGAUCAGGUAGGAAUACGCGCUGAACUUAAGCAUAUCAAUAAGCGCAGGAAAAGAAACCAACAGGGAUUGCCUCAGUAACGGCGAGUGAAGCGGCAACAGCUCAAAUUUGAAAUCUGGCCUCUCGGGGUCCGAGUUGUAAUUUGUAGAGGAUGUUUUGGGUACCGCCCCGGUCUAAAUUUCUUGGAACAGAAUGUCAGAGAGGGUGAGAAUCCCGUCUUGGACCGGCGGUAGGGCCUGUGUAAAA
RNAcentral lists this non-coding RNA (252 nucleotides) under Capronia americana. RNAcentral describes it as "Capronia semiimmersa Eukaryotic large subunit ribosomal RNA". It matches the Rfam family "Eukaryotic large subunit ribosomal RNA", at positions 1 to 251 of the family's 3401-position model. Lineage: Eukaryota; Fungi; Ascomycota; Eurotiomycetes; Chaetothyriales; Herpotrichiellaceae. The record is from Rfam by way of RNAcentral.